Molecule: long non-coding RNA, 1690 nt
Filed under: Polistes fuscatus (common paper wasp)
Lineage: Eukaryota; Metazoa; Arthropoda; Insecta; Hymenoptera; Vespidae
Description: uncharacterized LOC122514878
Source: RNAcentral
UACAAUUAUAAUCUAAUAUAACAUAAUUUGUUGAAGUUACCUUACACAUGUGAAAUUGAAUUGAUAUUUUUUGUUUAAAUUGUAAAAAUAUAUAAUGUUGUGCUAUCGAAAUGUUAAUUAUUAUAGGCAUUGUUAAUUAAUAAUCACAAAUUGAACUUGUCUUCCAAUGAUGUUUUCCAAAAUGGUAAUAAUAAUUAUGUAUCGCGAUUUAUUGAUCGAGACGAAUCUUUGUUAAUAAUAUUAAAAGUUAUAUAUUGAGAGUUGUAGCCGUUAAGCAUUAACAUUUAAGGUCAAGGAUUAUUAAAAUUUAAUAUAUAUAUAUUGCAUACAUGAUUCAUGAGAAAACUAGAUGUAAAAAUUAAAUGUUAAUUCACUUUCGACAAUGAUUUUAUUUAUUUCUAAACGCAAGAACAGCUGAUUUGAUAUUGUUUCAAACAUAAUCUAAAAUUUAUCAAAAUAAUAACUAUUAGUACUACAAUAAAAAUAUUUGAAUUAUCUAUCUCUGUGUGUAUAUAACGACUAAUUAAACAUUCUUUCUUUUUAAACACUUUUUCAUAGAUAUAUAAAAAAAAAGUUUCUUAUUCAGAGUAAAAUCAUUUGAAAAUCUACACAUCUAUUUUUCUUUUAUUGUAUCUUGCACAAUUGAACGUACCAAAAAAAGCCUUUCUCAUUUUUGUAUCUGUGAUUAAUGAUAAGAGGCUUUGUAUUCAAAGACAAUAAUUAAUUCUCUAUUCGCUCUAAUUAAAAUAUAUGCUGCAACAAAGAUAAAUACGUACACAUGUACAAUAUGUAGUAUCGAUAUACGUAACUAUAUCAAGAAUAUAUCUUUGAGUUUUCAUAAAAAAGAAAAAGAAAAAUUUUUCAAUUAUAUAGAUCAUAUAUAGAAACUAAUUUCUAAUAUUUCUGAUCAAAGUUAUUAUCAUCCUGAAAUAGUGCUACGUUGUUACUAUACGUUUGCAUAAUAAUAAUAACAAUAAUACCAAUAAUGAUGACGAUGAUGAUGAUAAUAAAUGUAUACAAUGAAGAAACUUUGAAAACUGAGAACCAUUUUUUUCAUUUAGAUUUUAAAUCGCUUUGUUAGAAGUGUCAUCUUUAGACAACAACGAUGCAUUAAAAGUCAACUUGUUCAAUGUUUUUUCGUGUAGUUUGAAUGUAUGUAUAGGAGUUUCGCAAAAUGAUAUAAUCAGGUGCUUCCCUUAUUAAAAAGACGACGGGAAGAUAUUACAAAUAAUAUAUAAAUAUAAGAAAUGAAAAUAAAUUAUCAAAAUUUUAUGAAAUUGUAUUUCACUUGUACCUGUUUUGGGUUGAAUUAUUUUAAUCAAACCUUUCUCUAGAAUCCAAUUUCAUUUUUAUCUAGAGAAUACAACUUUCUCUCUUUGGUAAAAAGUUAUAGAUAAAACCACAAAUUAAAUUUCCGUUGAAUGUCAUGCUCUGAAUAUUCUGCGUCGGUGUAUAUAAGGUUUGCGUGCUCAUUUCAAAUUCCAUAGUAAUAGUCAUUUAACAUUGCUGUAAUAAUAUAAUUAUUCGUUGAUUAAAUGUCAUGUUAUUAUUGAACAAAUUAAUUUUUAUAUGUUCUUUUUUGUGGCUUGUAGUGUAUGCAUCAUCGAAUGAUAAUAAGCCAGACAAAUCGUACUAUGAAAAAUAUGAGAAAAUUCCACGUGUUAAAAUAAAAGUAUUUCGUGGUCCGAAU